CGGCGGACGGGUGAGUAACGCGUGGGUAACCUGCCCUGUACACAUGGAUAACAUACCGAAAGGUAUGCUAAUACAAGAUAAAAUAUAUUUAUCGCAUGAUAGAUAUAUCAAAGCGUUAGCGGUACAGGAUGGACCCGCGUCUGAUUAGCUAGUUGGUAAGGUAAAGGCUUACCAAGGCGACGAUCAGUAGCCGACCUGAGAGGGUGAUCGGCCACAUUGGAACUGAGACACGGUCCAAACUCCUACGGGAGGCAGCAGUGGGGAAUAUUGCACAAUGGGCGAAAGCCUGAUGCAGCAACGCCGCGUGAGCGAAGAAGGCCUUCGGGUCGUAAAGCUCUGUCCUCAAGGAAGAUAAUGACGGUACUUGAGGAGGAAGCCCCGGCUAACUACGUGCCAGCAGCCGCGGUAAUACGUAGGGGGCAAGCGUUAUCCGGAUUUACUGGGCGUAAA
RNAcentral lists this ribosomal RNA (450 nucleotides) under uncultured bacterium. RNAcentral describes it as "bacterial SSU rRNA". It matches the Rfam family "Bacterial small subunit ribosomal RNA", at positions 96 to 564 of the family's 1533-position model. The record is from RNAcentral.